AUUUGCUAUCUGGAGAUGGGGAGAUAGUGGCGAAAUACUUUUCGCACUGGUUGAUAGCUGGUUAUUCCGGAAAUAUAUCUAAGUAUAGCUCUUCGGUUGAUGGGGUUUACAGUUUAAUAAUUCUAAUAGUAUUUAGGGUGUUCUAUCGAAGGAGUCAGCCCCCUCAGGCUAAGCUGAGGGGGCUAUUUUAAAGGAUGGUUAACUAAGAAUGGAAAGGCUAAGAAGUGGGCUUGAAGGAGCUAUCUUUACAGAGUGGGUUAAACCACAAAUGGGCCUUGUACAAUAAAUCAAAUUUUACCUAUCUUUGUGUUGUACGGAAUCUCUUUUUGAAACAAUAGUCAUAGAGGUGAUAAUGUAAAGAUGAGUAGUCGAGAAGUUGUAAGUGUUUUAAGGUCGGGGAGAGAAACGUAAAGGUAUGUUCCGUAUCUUUAAAAAAAGCUAAAGGAACUCGGCAAAUAAGGGGACCGCCUGUUUAUCAAAAACAUGGCUCCCUGAGCAAUAUUGGGGGUCGUGCCUUCCCGGUGAGCUUGC
RNAcentral lists this ribosomal RNA (531 nucleotides) under Pecten albicans. RNAcentral's name for it is "partial 16S ribosomal RNA". It matches the Rfam family "Bacterial large subunit ribosomal RNA", at positions 792 to 1875 of the family's 2925-position model. Lineage: Eukaryota; Metazoa; Mollusca; Bivalvia; Pectinida; Pectinidae. The record is from RNAcentral.